This 2576-nucleotide long non-coding RNA is filed under the name Nicotiana tabacum (common tobacco). RNAcentral's name for it is "long non-coding RNA (NTAB_LNC009711)". Lineage: Eukaryota; Viridiplantae; Streptophyta; Magnoliopsida; Solanales; Solanaceae. The record is from RNAcentral.
GGUACGAGCGCUGAGUCUUUUGAAUAACUGCUCGUGCCUCUACUUAUACCUCUGCUCGUAUUUAUUGCAACUCGUGCCUCUUUUGCUAAUCAUCACUCUUUGACCAGCCUCCGUGUCAUGACACAUCAUCUUCCAAUCACUUCACUAUGUAAACUCAAUUUUCCCAAUACAGUUUCUUAUGUGUAGAAAGACAAAUUUUUCCUCGUCCUGGCUUUAUCCCUGUCUUAGUCUCAGCCAUCUAGGUAUGAAAAUAAAUUAAGUACAAAUAACUUCACUAAACUAGAAGAAUAAUUACAUAAUAAAUUUAUUUAAUCAGUAAAAUAAAAUAAAUGAGGUAACAAUGAUGUAUAGACUCACGUCCACUAAACUGACUUUUGCAAGUUCUAAAUGCGUAGUCUUAGAUAUUAUCUACAAUCAAGUAACGAAAUAAUAAGGAAUAGAAUAUAAAAUAUAACAGAAUGUAAAGUAAAGCACGAUAUUCACAGACCAAUUUCCAAUGUCUACAUAAGUGAAAUACAUCAAGAAGGUCAUAUUGAUUAGGAUCUCUUUAGCUAAUGUUGCAUCAAAGCCUAAAGCAUUUGAAGUAUCUUCAAAUAGAAAUCCUAUUGUCAUAACUAUAACUCACUAUAAUUCUUCCCUCUAUCUAGAAUUCAUCUGAAAUGACUUUGUGAUGAAAAAAAAAUUCCAUUGAAUCAAGUUUGCGAAAUGCUUACUAAGAAUCAUAUUUUCAUAACUUCUAUUCUUUAGAUGAUGAGAAAAGGAUUCCAAAUAAUCAAGUUAGCAAACUGCUUACAAAGUUCUCUAAAAGAAUAUUUCUAUUUGCAAAUGCCCAUUUUUCUCUUGCAGUAGCAACUAGUAAUUUGUUGAGAGCCAUAGUAACCAUUUAUUUUAGAUUGUUAAACAGUUAAUCUAAUUUUUUCAUUCUUAAAUAACAAAGUUCUAAUUUUCAUGUUUAAAGAUAAACACCCAAAGCUAGAUAUUUCUUGUUCUCUUGAUUCUAAUUCGCUUCACUUUCAUCAGAAAAACAUUUCUUAGUUAAAGCUGCUAAACUCAAUCAAAUGUGAGAAAUAAGCAGGCCAUGAACAACAACUACAACUCAAUCUAAAUUAAAAUAAGAUUAGAUCUCUACAAUUCAAAAAAAUAACUUUUCAAUCAUCUAAUGGAGACUCUGGAGAAGAGGAAAAAAUAGAAAUAAUACUAACUAGACAACUAGCGCAAAAGAGGAUCUAAUAAAUUACUAGAGUAGCAAACAAACGUUGAUGGAGGCUGAAGUUCCUAAUGAGAAUACAUGCAUUCAGUCAUUAGCCAUAUGUGGAAAAGAAAGAAAAUAGGCAUAGAGAGAGCUAGAUAUUAAUAAAUUGGGAAAAAGUAUAAAAAAAGGCCUUUCUUCCGAACAUUCAAGCACCAUAGCACAAAGAAACAAUAAGUUGCAAUUCUAUACGUAUCCUCAAACCAGAAUAUUAGUUGAAUAAACUCUGUAAAAUCGAAGAGCAUAAACAUCUAAAAAAUUUACAAAGCCAAACUAGAACUUAAAUUCUCUCACCAAAUAAGAAAUCAAAACGCGAAAAAGAAAUCAUAUGAAACUUACCGAUUUACCAGAUCCAAUUUACAAAACUGGAUGAAUCCUAAAAGUGGAGGGGGGGAAGAGGUGUUAAAGGCGGAAGUUUCUAGAUAAAGGGGUUAAAGGCGUUAAGGGUUUGGGAAAAGGAGGGAAAGGGGAAAAUGUGGGCGGAAAUAAAGGCGCUCUUUUUUUAUUUUAGGGUAGCAGAGGCUUAUUUGUGUCACUUAAAGGAACCUCCCCAAAUUGAUACAAUUUGUGGAGAUAGUGAAAACCUCCUCAAUAAAACCUCCGCAAGUUGUCCGUUUUCUUAUAGUGAUACAGCCAAUGUAUACAUAUAACAGACGCUCAAAUCGUUGAACUCUGAGAUGUCGGACUGAAAGGUCCAAAUGCUGCCGGAGGGAACAGCCCACCCGAAGUUGAACUGUCGAAUAAAAGAAAGCAAAUUAGCACAGAGAAACAAUAUUUUUGCAAUUUACCAUGCAUAAAACAUGCUGAAGUUAAUCAAAUAUAGAACAAAAACUUAGUUACAAAGACAAAAACUUCACCUCUAGAGCUGAAGUUCCCCAGUUACAAAACAAAAACUUCAGCAUACGGGGCUGAAGUUCGCCAGUUACAAAAACAAAAACUGUUCGCCAGUUACAAAACAAAAACUUCAGCUCUAGAUCUGAACAUCAGACCCGACUACUUGAAUGCUACGCCCGACUACUAGAAUGCUGAAGUUUUGCGUGAUUGUCUUUGCUAGCUCAGCCCCGUAUGCUAAAGUUUGGGUUAAUUCUUUUAAUCGACAGGUUAUUUAUGCAAAUAGAGGUUAUUACGCGCGAACGGGGCUACGGGAGGGAAAUUUCAAACAAAAAUGAAAAGCUAAAGAAAGGGUAGACGGGUUUGAGUUGCCGACGAAAUUCAUACACAGGCAAACAAAUUUGCCUUCCGCCAUACCCUUUUCUCGCCAUUGACGCACCCGUAAGUAAGCUUUCCAUUUUCUUUAGUUUUCUCUUCUCUCUUCGUUGCUUGCUUG